GAUGAAGAACGUAGCGAAAUGCGAUAAGUAAUGUGAAUUGCAGAAUUCAGUGAAUCAUCGAAUCUUUGAACGCACAUUGCGCCCGCCAGCACUCUGGCGGGCAUGCCUGUUCGAGCGUCAUUUCAACCAUCAAGCCCCCAGGGGCUUGUGCUGGGGCCCUGCGGCUGCCCGCAGGCCCUGAAAACCAGUGGCGGGCUCGCUAGUCACACCGAGCGCAGUAGCACAUCUCGCUCAGGGCGUGCGGCGGGCUCCUGCCGUGAAACCCCCCACUGUAACCCCAAAGGUUGACCUCGGAUCAGGUAGGAAUACCCGCUGAACUUAAGCAUAUCAAUUAAGCGGAGGA
RNAcentral lists this unclassified non-coding RNA (343 nucleotides) under soil metagenome. Its description in RNAcentral is "partial contains 5.8S ribosomal RNA, internal transcribed spacer 2, and large subunit ribosomal RNA". The stretch from base 1 to 120 matches the Rfam family "5.8S ribosomal RNA", at positions 35 to 154 of the family's 154-position model. The record is from RNAcentral.